UACGUAGGUGGCAAGCGUUGUCCGGAUUUAUUGGGCGUAAAGCGCGCGCAGGCGGUUCGUUAAGUUCGGUGUGAAAGCUCCCGGCUCAACUGGGAGAGGUCAUCGGAUACUGGCGGACUCGAGGGAGGUAGAGGAAGGUGGAAUUCCCGGUGUAGUGGUGAAAUGCGUAGAGAUCGGGAGGAACACCAGUGGCGAAGGCGGCCUUCUGGGCCUUUCCUGACGCUGAGGCGCGAAAGCGUGGGGAGCGAUCCGG
Molecule: ribosomal RNA, 253 nt
Filed under: uncultured bacterium
Lineage: Bacteria
Description: partial 16S ribosomal RNA
Rfam family: Bacterial small subunit ribosomal RNA
Source: RNAcentral